CCUACGGGAGGCUGCAGUGAGGAAUAUUGGUCAAUGGACGAGAGUCUGAACCAGCCAAGUAGCGUGAAGGAGGACUGCCCUGUGGGUUGUAAACUUCUUUUAUAUGGGAAUAAAAUGUUCCACGUGUGGGAUUUUGUAUGUACCAUAUGAAUAAGGAUCGGCUAACUCCGUGCCAGCAGCCGCGGUAAUACGGAGGAUCCGAGCGUUAUCCGGAUUUAUUGGGUUUAAAGGGAGCGUAGGUGGAUUGUUAAGUCAGUUGUGAAAGUUUGCGGCUCAACCGUAAAAUUGCAGUUGAAACUGGCAGUCUUGAGUACAGUAGAGGUGGGCGGAAUUCGUGGUGUAGCGGUGAAAUGCUUAGAUAUCACGAAGAACUCCGAUUGCGAAGGCAGUUCACUGGACUGCAACUGACACUGAGGCUCGAAAGUGUGGGUAUCAAACAGGAUUAGAUACUCUUGUAGUC
Molecule: ribosomal RNA, 460 nt
Filed under: uncultured bacterium
Lineage: Bacteria
Description: partial 16S ribosomal RNA
Rfam family: Bacterial small subunit ribosomal RNA
Source: RNAcentral